This 480-nucleotide long non-coding RNA is filed under the name Brassica napus (rape). RNAcentral's name for it is "long non-coding RNA (BNAP_LNC007564)". The record is from RNAcentral. Lineage: Eukaryota; Viridiplantae; Streptophyta; Magnoliopsida; Brassicales; Brassicaceae.
CAAAACAGUUAACUUCAUGGCUUGUCCUUUUCUCUGGGUGACCCAAAGAAAACAAAAGCAAUAUAACUCAAGCAGGUCCUUAACGGCCAAACAAAGAAAACAAAAGCAAUAUAACUCAAGCAGGUCCUUACCGGCCAAAAAAAAGAAGGGCCUGUCAGACAACCGUGCGACCACCCCGGAGAGGUCAAACCUAACCGGAUAGCGAUCCUCUACAGUGCAGAGACUCCGAGGAGAAUCGUAACCGUUAAUCACACUCAGAUCGCACGGCUAUGAUUCAUCAACCAGGUUUAGGGGCCUGUCUCCUUAGAAAUCAAGGAUACAGAGGUACGAGCCUAUAGAACAGAUCCUGUUCAAGUAAGGUCGUGUCCUAUGCCUUCUUAGCUUCGUUAUAUAAACAUGAGAACUUCUCUGUUAGUUAGCGAUGUGGGAAGAAAUAAACAGCUUCAUAUACCUGAUACGCCAUCGUUUCUCCAGUAAAUG